Molecule: ribosomal RNA, 404 nt
Filed under: uncultured bacterium
Lineage: Bacteria
Description: bacterial SSU rRNA
Rfam family: Bacterial small subunit ribosomal RNA
Source: RNAcentral
GACGAACGCUGGCGGCGUGCCUAACACAUGCAAGUCGAACGGGGUUACGAGAGCUUGCUCUUGUGACUUAGUGGCGAACGGGUGAGUAACGCGUGAGGAACCUGCCUUUCAGUGGGGGACAACAGUUGGAAACGACUGCUAAUACCGCAUGAUACUAUCGGGCCGCAUGGUCUGGUAGUCAAAGAUUUAUUGCUGAAAGAUGGCCUCGCGUCUGAUUAGCUAAUUGGUGGGGUAACGGCCCACCAAGGCGACGAUCAGUAGCCGGACUGAGAGGUUGACCGGCCACAUUGGGACUGAGAAACGGUCCAGACUCCUACGGGAGGCAGCAGUGGGGAAUAUUGGGGCAAUGGGCGAAAGCCUGACCCAGCGACGCCGCGUGCGGGAAGAAGGCCUCGGUUGUAACG